Cinara cedri is the source of this 265-nucleotide non-coding RNA. The record is from the annotation of a GenBank genome assembly. NCBI's taxonomy places the organism in Eukaryota, Metazoa, Arthropoda, Insecta, Hemiptera, Aphididae.
GCAUUUCGCGUAUUGUUUUCCCCCGAGGUUAUGGGUUUCACUCGACUAGCUUCAUGUCAUCCGCAGUACCGCGCAAUGCAGCCGUACGCCCGUGUCCGAACGAUUUGUUCAGGGCGCUGUCUCGUCCAACCAAACGCAACCUAACCUGACCACUGCGAAUCACGACAGACAGACAAACAGUGUACACGCAAUUGUGCUCGACGUGAUUAACGCGUUGUCGCGGGCGGCGGCGUCACAAACUUUAAAUAAUAUAAAAGCAAAUCGU